Molecule: long non-coding RNA, 373 nt
Filed under: Carica papaya (papaya)
Lineage: Eukaryota; Viridiplantae; Streptophyta; Magnoliopsida; Brassicales; Caricaceae
Description: long non-coding RNA (CPAP_LNC003589)
Source: RNAcentral
UUUCAGCCAAUCGAGAUUCCCUAACGAUUUUUUUUCACAGGAAUAUGUGUAAAUUUGGCCGAAAUCGACCUAAGUCAAGGCAAACCACCAUUGCGGGCGGCAGUGCUAUCGUUGGAGCAUAGGGUGCUGCUGUGCCAGAAUCUUGAAAUUGGUUAGAGUGGAUUUUUAACACCGAUUUUGGAUUUUUGGGGUAUUUUUUAAGUACGUGAAGCGUGUUUAAUCUCCAUAAGAAAAUUCAAAAAAUCUAGGGAUCGCCAGGAGGCAUAGUAAAAAGUACAGUAUUUUAGACACCGAUUAAGAUAAGAAUCUCUCACCCUAUUUCUUGUUAUGGAAUUGAAGCUUAGAAAUCAAUAAUAUUGUAUUCUAUAAAAUU